CAGGUACAGAGGGAUGCUACCGGGCGACCGGAUGCGGAUCUCGAAAGCCUGUCCCAGUUCGGACUGGAGUCUGCAACCCGACUCCACGAAGUUGGAUUCGCUAGUAAUCGCGCAUCAGCCAUGGCGCGGUGAAUACGUUCCCGGGCCUUGUACACACCGCCCGUCAAGCCAUGGAAGCCGGGGGUGCCUGAAGUGUGCAGCCGCAAGGAGCGCCCUAAGGUAAAACCGGUGACUGGGGCUAAGUCGUAACAAGGUACC
This 258-nucleotide ribosomal RNA is filed under the name uncultured bacterium. Its description in RNAcentral is "partial 16S ribosomal RNA". It matches the Rfam family "Bacterial small subunit ribosomal RNA", at positions 1234 to 1500 of the family's 1533-position model. The record is from RNAcentral.